This 74-nucleotide transfer RNA is filed under the name Actinomyces sp. RNAcentral describes it as "tRNA-Gly". It matches the Rfam family "tRNA". From Rfam's summary of the family: Transfer RNA (tRNA) molecules are approximately 80 nucleotides in length. Their secondary structure includes four short double-helical elements and three loops (D, anti-codon, and T loops). RNAcentral also lists the same sequence under 8 other names. Lineage: Bacteria; Bacillati; Actinomycetota; Actinomycetes; Actinomycetales; Actinomycetaceae. The record is from RNAcentral.
GCGGGUGUAGUUCAAUGGUAGAACUUCAGCUUCCCAAGCUGACGGCGCGGGUUCGAUUCCCGUCACCCGCUCCA